GUAGUCAUAUGCUUGUCUCAAAGAUUAAGCCAUGCAUGUCUAAGUAUAAACAACUUUAUACUGUAAAACUGCGAACGGCUCAUUAUAUCAGCAAUAAUUUAUUUGAUGGUUUCUUACUACAUGGAUAACUGUAGUAAUUCUAGAGCUAAUACAUGCGUAAAGUCCCAACUCUUGCGGGGAGGGAUGUAUUUAUUAGAUAAAAAACCAAUGCGGGUUCUGCUCGCCUUUGUGUUGAAUCAUAGUAACUUUUCGGACGCCAUAGCCUUGUGCUGGGCGCAGAUCAUUCAAAUUUCUGCCCUAUCAGCUUUCGACGGUAGUGUAGUGGACUACCGUGGCGUCAACGGGUAACGGGGAAU
RNAcentral lists this ribosomal RNA (356 nucleotides) under uncultured fungus. RNAcentral's name for it is "SSU rRNA". It matches the Rfam family "Eukaryotic small subunit ribosomal RNA", at positions 20 to 370 of the family's 1831-position model. Lineage: Eukaryota; Fungi. The record is from RNAcentral.